CUCUACUUGAACAUGUUUCUGCUUCCUGUGAUUGGAUUUUCCCUAUUCAAUCUUCUUAUAAUUGAGUUCAAUUAUUCUUCCCUUGUUACAGGAUGAGAGUAAAUUGUCUGAAACUUUAUACAUGAUUAGUUUACAAUAGAAUGCCUAGGUUCACUUCCUAAACUUGAAUUUCAUCUACAUAACCUAUUUAGUUGAACCUGGUAAAGCUGGGUUAACCAGUUCCAUACACCUGAAACUUGAUUGUAAAGUUUGACAAGUUAGUACAAUAGUUGCAAUGCAGUUUGUUGCUGUAAUUCCUGAUCCGAAUUACAAUUUAGGCAUGAUGCUUUGUCCUUGUUGAUUCUAAAUAAUCAAAUAAAGAUGUGAACAAAUACCCUAAUUCUACUUCCUGUCUUUUCAUCCUAACUCCCCUAAGAGGGUAAAUUCUUUGCACUUAUUAUAAAAAAUUAUGAACUGUAUAUAGAAAUCAAGGAAAAUGAACCAGAAAGUAAAUGCAUAAUUGUAUUUUAUUCGUGUGUGUUGGUGUAUGAUAUAGGAUAUAUCAAGUACAGAGUUUGUUUUCCUAUCCCAAAAGGCAACAUCAUAGUAAAAUUUUUGAGAUUGGCUAGUAUAGAAAUCAUGCGCACAACGAAUUUGUUUCCGCAUGAGGUCAUGAACGUUUAUAACAAUAUUGAAGGCCAUUUUGUGUUGGAUGUUGCUGAUAAAUAAAGCUAUUAACAGGAAAAUAAGCUGAAAGAGGAAAAUGGGCUUCUAGAGAAAGAGAUUGAAGCAACGAAGACCGAUGUUGAGCUGAUGAAAAAGCAUGGCAGUCGCCCAGAACUCGAUCUGUUCAAUUCUCCACAAUCAGCUAGCAAGGCUAGAUGUGAUGGGAAUAAGGUGCGAAAUUGUUGCAACUAAACAGGAAGCAUUCUCUUUUUCUUUCUGGCAAGUGACGUGCCCAUUGCUUCUAUUUCUAUUAUUUGCUUCUUUGCUUCUGUCUACCAUAUUAUUUGAAGUACAUCCCCUGACUAUCUCAGCACUCUGGUUCCAGUUUCUUUGAUCAAAAUGGAACCUUUCAUUGUUCUAUGCUCAUUUUAAGUUGCAUAAUGCAAAAUAUUAUGUUUCCAAUAAA
Jatropha curcas is the source of this 1111-nucleotide RNA transcript. It is a transcript of the gene named MADS-box protein FLOWERING LOCUS C-like, with no coding region annotated. The record is from RefSeq and is a predicted model, not a curated record. Lineage: Eukaryota; Viridiplantae; Streptophyta; Magnoliopsida; Malpighiales; Euphorbiaceae.